Molecule: ribosomal RNA, 448 nt
Filed under: uncultured bacterium
Lineage: Bacteria
Description: partial 16S ribosomal RNA
Rfam family: Bacterial small subunit ribosomal RNA
Source: RNAcentral
CGCCAGACUCCUACGGGAGGCAGCAGUGGGGGAUAUUGCACAAUGGGGGGAACCCUGAUGCAGCGACGCCGCGUGGGUGAAGGAGCGUUUCGGCGCGUAAAGCCCUAUCGGCAGGGAAGAAGGAGGACGGUACCUGACUAAGAAGCCCCGGCAAACUACGUGCCAGCAGCCGCGGUAAUACGUAGGGGGCGAGCGUUGUCCGGAAUGACUGGGCGUAAAGGGAGUGUAGGCGGCUCUUUAAGUUAUAUGUGAAAUCCCGCGGCUUAACCGUGGAAGUGCAUAUAAAACUGGGGAGCUGGAGUGCAGGAGAGGUGAGUGGAAUUCCUAGUGUAGCGGUGGAAUGCGUAGAUAUUAGGAAGAACACCGGUGGCGAAGGCGGCUCACUGGACUGUAACUGACGCUGAGGCUCGAAAGCGUGGGGAGCAAACAGGAUUAGAUACCCGAGUAA